GGAGCAGUUGGUAGCUCAGUGGUAGAGUGCAUGCUUUGUUUGAACGACGUCCUGGGUUCAAUUCCCAGCUGCUCCC
This 76-nucleotide transfer RNA is filed under the name Dallia pectoralis (Alaska blackfish). RNAcentral's name for it is "tRNA-Thr". Lineage: Eukaryota; Metazoa; Chordata; Actinopteri; Esociformes; Umbridae. The record is from RNAcentral.